Molecule: ribosomal RNA, 250 nt
Filed under: uncultured bacterium
Lineage: Bacteria
Description: partial 16S ribosomal RNA
Rfam family: Bacterial small subunit ribosomal RNA
Source: RNAcentral
UACAGAGGGUGCAAGCGUUAAUCGGAAUUACUGGGCGUAAAGCGUGCGUAGUCGGUUUGCUAAGUCGGAUGUGAAAUCCCCGGGCUCAACCUGGGAAUUGCAUUCGAUACUGGCUAGCUAGAGUUCGGCAGAGGGAAGCGGAAUUUCCGGUGUAGCGGUGAAAUGCGUAGAUAUCGGAAGGAACAUCAGUGGCGAAAGCGGCUUCCUGGACCAGAACUGACGAUCAGGCACGAAAGCGUGGGGAGCAAAC